RNAcentral lists this ribosomal RNA (253 nucleotides) under uncultured bacterium. RNAcentral's name for it is "partial 16S ribosomal RNA". It matches the Rfam family "Bacterial small subunit ribosomal RNA", at positions 524 to 776 of the family's 1533-position model. The record is from RNAcentral.
UACGGAGGGUGCGAGCGUUGUCCGGAAUCACUGGGCGUAAAGGGCGCGUAGGCGGUGCGAGUAGUCAACGGUGAAAGCCCGGGGCUCAACCCCGGGUCGGCCGUCGAUACUCUCGUGCUUGAGCACUGUAGAGGCAGGUGGAAUUCCGGGUGUAGCGGUGGAAUGCGUAGAGAUCCGGAAGAACACCGGUGGCGAAGGCGGCCUGCUGGGCAGUAGCUGACGCUGAGGCGCGACAGCGUGGGGAGCAAACAGG